Molecule: long non-coding RNA, 346 nt
Organism: Hibiscus syriacus
Lineage: Eukaryota; Viridiplantae; Streptophyta; Magnoliopsida; Malvales; Malvaceae
Exons: 3
Source: RefSeq, a predicted model, not a curated record
ACGAGACGACGGCUGGUUCGCUCCUUCCUCUUCCUACAAACCACCUGUAUUUCGUCUGCGAAAUUACAAGUGUACCCUCCCUCCUCCACUCUGCUCUGCGAGUGAUUCAGUUGCAAGUCAACCAAAAAUGGCAUCUCAAGAUGAACAAGACCCUCGUAUUUCCAAAAGUUCUUCUGCGAUUCGUAUCAUCCCAAACUUCCCAAACCUGGUAUAAUGUUUCAGGACAUAACAACUUUUGCUUCUUGAUACCAAGGCAUUUCGUGAUACUAUCGAUUUGUUUGUUGAGAGGUACAGGGGGAAAGAUAUCUCUGUUGUUGCAGGUAAAUCUCUUCUCUUAAUACAUAGU